This 465-nucleotide ribosomal RNA is filed under the name uncultured Klebsiella sp. Its description in RNAcentral is "bacterial SSU rRNA". It matches the Rfam family "Bacterial small subunit ribosomal RNA", at positions 338 to 795 of the family's 1533-position model. The record is from RNAcentral. Lineage: Bacteria; Pseudomonadati; Pseudomonadota; Gammaproteobacteria; Enterobacterales; Enterobacteriaceae.
CCUACGGGGGGCAGCAGUGGGGAAUAUUGCACAAUGGGCGCAAGCCUGAUGCAGCCAUGCCGCGUGUGUGAAGAAGGCCUUCGGGUUGUAAAGCACUUUCAGCGGGGAGGAAGGCGGUGAGGUUAAUAACCUCAUCGAUUGACGUUACCCGCAGAAGAAGCACCGGCUAACUCCGUGCCAGCAGCCGCGGUAAUGCGGAGGGUGCAAGCGUUAAUCGGAAUUACUGGGCGUAAAGCGCACGCAGGCGGUCUGUCAAGUCGGAUGUGAAAUCCCCGGGCUCAACCUGGGAACUGCAUUCGAAACUGGCAGGCUAGAGUCUUGUAGAGGGGGGUAGAAUUCCAGGUGUAGCGGUGAAAUGCGUAGAGAUCUGGAGGAAUACCGGUGGCGAAGGCGGCCCCCUGGACAAAGACUGACGCUCAGGUGCGAAAGCGUGGGGAGCAAACAGGAUUAGAUACCCUAGUAGUC